UCAUUUGUUACUUGAUUAGUA
This 21-nucleotide non-coding RNA is filed under the name Caenorhabditis elegans. Lineage: Eukaryota; Metazoa; Nematoda; Chromadorea; Rhabditida; Rhabditidae. The record is from RNAcentral.